Molecule: non-coding RNA, 196 nt
Organism: Paramuricea clavata
Lineage: Eukaryota; Metazoa; Cnidaria; Anthozoa; Malacalcyonacea; Plexauridae
Source: the annotation of a GenBank genome assembly
UGACGAGCCCCAAAAGGGCGAAACAGCUGUCCGCAGUUGCUGGUAGUGAGCUUGGGGCACAAUUGUCAUUGCCUAUAGGCCUUUGCGCUAUAUAUAUAUAUAUAUAUAUAUAUAUAUAUAUAUAUAUAUAUAUAUAUAUAUAUAUAUAUAUAUAUAUAUAUAUAUAUAUAUAUAUAUAUAUGCCCUUGAGUGAGUA